CCUACGGGAGGCUGCAGUGAGGAAUAUUGGUCAAUGGCCGGAAGGCUGAACCAGCCAUGCCGCGUGAAGGUCAGUGCCCUAUGGGCGUUAAACUUCUUUUGUGCGGGAGCAAUAAUGGUCACGUGUGGCCAGACGAGAGUACCGUACGAAUAAGCAUCGGCUAACUCCGUGCCAGCAGCCGCGGUAAUACGGGGGGGGCAAGCGUUAUCCGGAUUUAUUGGGUUUAAAGGGUGCGUAGGCUGUGAGGUAAGUCAGCGGGGAAAUGCCCCCGCUCAACGGGGUGAAGUGCCAUUGAUACUGCCUUGCUGGAAUGCGGAUGCCGUGGGAGGAAUGUGUGGUGUAGCGGUGAAAUGCAUAGAUAUCACACAGAACACCGAUUGCGAAGGCAUCUCACGAAUCCGCGAUUGACGCUGAUGCACGAAAGCGUGGGUAUCAAACAGGAUUAGAUACCCCAGUAGUC
Molecule: ribosomal RNA, 460 nt
Filed under: uncultured bacterium
Lineage: Bacteria
Description: partial 16S ribosomal RNA
Rfam family: Bacterial small subunit ribosomal RNA
Source: RNAcentral